RNAcentral lists this ribosomal RNA (463 nucleotides) under uncultured bacterium. Its description in RNAcentral is "partial 16S ribosomal RNA". It matches the Rfam family "Bacterial small subunit ribosomal RNA", at positions 28 to 507 of the family's 1533-position model. The record is from RNAcentral.
GAUGAACGCUGACAGAAUGCUUAACACAUGCAAGUCUUUGGCGAAGCUGUGCUUGCACAGCCUAGCCAAGGCGGACGGGUGAGUAACGCGUAAGGAACUUGCCCUGCAGUCAGGGAUAACAGACGGAAACGACUGAUAAGACCUGGUAAAGUCAGGCGGACUCAUGUCCAGCCUGAUGAAAAGAGAUGCUGCAGGAGAGCCUUGCGUCCUAUUAGCUUGUUGGUGGGGUAACGGCCCACCAAGGCGAUGAUAGCUAGCCGGCCUGAGAGGGUGGACGGCCACAAGGGGACUGAGAUACGGCCCAUACUCCUACGGGAGGCAGCAGUGGGGAAUAUUGGACAAUGGGGGAAACGCUGAUCCAGCAAUUCUGUGUGCACGAUGAAGGUUUUCGGAGUGUAAAGUGCUUGCAGUAGAGAAGAAAAAAAUGACGGUACCUGCAGAAGAAGCGACGGCUAAAUACGUG